RNAcentral lists this transfer RNA (86 nucleotides) under Candidatus Nomurabacteria bacterium. RNAcentral describes it as "tRNA-Leu". It matches the Rfam family "tRNA". Rfam says of the family: Transfer RNA (tRNA) molecules are approximately 80 nucleotides in length. Their secondary structure includes four short double-helical elements and three loops (D, anti-codon, and T loops). Lineage: Bacteria; Candidatus Nomuraibacteriota. RNAcentral also lists the same sequence under 1 other name. The record is from RNAcentral.
GCCCGGGUGGCGGAAUGGUAGACGCAAGGGACUCAAAAUCCCUCGAUGGCAACAUCGUGAGAGUUCAAGUCUCUCCCCGGGCACCA